RNAcentral lists this ribosomal RNA (470 nucleotides) under Escherichia coli. Its description in RNAcentral is "bacterial SSU rRNA". It matches the Rfam family "Bacterial small subunit ribosomal RNA", at positions 862 to 1332 of the family's 1533-position model. The record is from RNAcentral. Lineage: Bacteria; Pseudomonadati; Pseudomonadota; Gammaproteobacteria; Enterobacterales; Enterobacteriaceae.
AAGUCGACCGCCUGGGGAGUACGGCCGCAAGGUUAAAACUCAAAUGAAUUGACGGGGGCCCGCACAAGCGGUGGAGCAUGUGGUUUAAUUCGAUGCAACGCGAAGAACCUUACCUGGUCUUGACAUCCACGGAAGUUUUCAGAGAUGAGAAUGUGCCUUCGGGAACCGUGAGACAGGUGCUGCAUGGCUGUCGUCAGCUCGUGUUGUGAAAUGUUGGGUUAAGUCCCGCAACGAGCGCAACCCUUAUCCUUUGUUGCCAGCGGUCCGGCCGGGAACUCAAAGGAGACUGCCAGUGAUAAACUGGAGGAAGGUGGGGAUGACGUCAAGUCAUCAUGGCCCUUACGACCAGGGCUACACACGUGCUACAAUGGCGCAUACAAAGAGAAGCGACCUCGCGAGAGCAAGCGGACCUCAUAAAGUGCGUCGUAGUCCGGAUUGGAGUCUGCAACUCGACUCCAUGAAGUCGGAAU